RNAcentral lists this ribosomal RNA (254 nucleotides) under uncultured bacterium. RNAcentral's name for it is "partial 16S ribosomal RNA". It matches the Rfam family "Bacterial small subunit ribosomal RNA", at positions 524 to 776 of the family's 1533-position model. The record is from RNAcentral.
UACGUAGGGCGCGAGCGUUGUCCGGAAUUAUUGGGCGUAAAGAGCUCGUAGGCGGUUUGUCGCGUCUGCCGUGAAAACCCGAGGCUUAACCUCGUGGCUUGCGGUGGAUACGGGCAGACUAGAGGUAGGUAGGGGAGAAUGGAAUUCCCGGUGUAGCGGUGAAAUGCGCAGAUAUCGGGAGGAACACCGGUGGCGAAGGCGGUUCUCUGGGCCUUACCUGACGCUGAGGAGCGAAAGCGUGGGGAGCGAACAGG